Molecule: long non-coding RNA, 340 nt
Filed under: Paramuricea clavata
Lineage: Eukaryota; Metazoa; Cnidaria; Anthozoa; Malacalcyonacea; Plexauridae
Source: RNAcentral
CAUUACACACGUAAAAAUCUCACAACUUGUUAACAAGAUGUGUUCGCAACAGACUUGUAGCAAGCUUGCCAACAAGUUGUAAUAAUGUUGUUAUUUUAUCAAGUUGCUACAAGGUUGUCACUCACAACUUGUUGACAAAUUGUUGAAUUGCAGGACGAUAACAAGUUGUUGGAACAACUUGUAACAAGUCUGUUGAACUCAACAACCUUGUAGCAAGUUGUCAACAAGCCGUUGACAACUUGUCAACAAGCUGGGAACAAGCAGUGCGAAUACAUCCUGUUGACAAGUUGUUGGAACAGCAUUGCUACAAGUCUGCUGCAGGUUUGUUACAACUUGAGCG